GAUGAACGCUAGCUACAGGCUUAACACAUGCAAGUCGAGGGGAAACGACAUCGAAAGCUUGCUUUUGAUGGGCGUCGACCGGCGCACGGGUGAGUAACGCGUAUCCAACCUGCCCACCACUUGGGGAUAACCUUGCGAAAGUAAGACUAAUACCCAAUGAUAUCCCACGAAGACAUCUGAAUGGGAUUAAAGAUUUAUCGGUGAUGGAUGGGGAUGCGUCUGAUUAGCUUGUUGGCGGGGUAACGGCCCACCAAGGCAACGAUCAGUAGGGGUUCUGAGAGGAAGGUCCCCCACAUUGGAACUGAGACACGGUCCAAACUCCUACGGGAGGCAGCAGUGAGGAAUAUUGGUCAAUGGGCGAGAGCCUGAACCAGCCAAGUAGCGUGCAGGAAGACGGCCCUAUGGGUUGUAAACUGCUUUUAUAAGGGAAUAAAGUGGGUCACGUGUGACUUUUUGCAUGUACCUUAUGAAUAAGGACCGGCUAAGUCCGUG
This 492-nucleotide ribosomal RNA is filed under the name uncultured bacterium. RNAcentral describes it as "partial 16S ribosomal RNA". It matches the Rfam family "Bacterial small subunit ribosomal RNA", at positions 28 to 507 of the family's 1533-position model. The record is from RNAcentral.